GACGAACGCUGGCGGCGUGCCUAAUACAUGCAAGUCGAACGCUGCUUAAGAAGAAACUUCGGUUUUUUCUUAAGCGGAGUGGCGGACGGGUGAGUAACACGUGGGGAACCUAUCCAUCAGCGGGGGAUAACACUUGGAAACAGGUGCUAAUACCGCAUACGGCUUUUUUUCACCUGAAAGAAAGCUCAAAGGCGCUUUACAGCGUCACUGAUGGCUGGYCCCGCGGUGCAUUAGCCAGUUGGUGAGGUAACGGCUCACCAAAGCAACGAUGCAUAGCCGACCUGAGAGGGUGAUCGGCCACACUGGGACUGAGACACGGCCCAGACUCCUACGGGAGGCAGCAGUAGGGAAUCUUCGGCAAUGGACGCAAGUCUGACCGAGCAACGCCGCGUGAGUGAAGAAGGUYUUCGGAUCGUAAAGCUCUGUUGUCAGCAAAGAACAGGAGAAAGAGGMAAUGCUUUUUCUAUGACGGUAGCUGACCAGAAAGCCACGGCUAACUACGUGC
This 505-nucleotide ribosomal RNA is filed under the name Tetragenococcus halophilus. Its description in RNAcentral is "bacterial SSU rRNA". It matches the Rfam family "Bacterial small subunit ribosomal RNA", at positions 28 to 508 of the family's 1533-position model. Lineage: Bacteria; Bacillati; Bacillota; Bacilli; Lactobacillales; Enterococcaceae. The record is from RNAcentral.